AGACAGAGUCUCACUCCAUCAACUAAGCUGGAGUGCAGUGGCAUGAUUGCAGCCCUGAACUCCUGGCAUGAGCCACAGUGCUUGGCCAUAAAUGUAAUUUUAAUAGAAUGGAAUGCUCUUAUAUGGACCACCGAUUUGCAGGAUUAGCACUGACUCAUAAGACUCAAAGGAACUUUGGACUGCCAUCUAUUGAAUUUCAUCUAUAUUAAAAGAAAAUGAAACCUCCUGAGCUGUCCGGUAAUAGAAAGAAGCUGCAGAACCCUGUUGUCUUCAUCUUUUGUUUAACUCAUGCAACAUUUGAAAGCACGUUUGCCUACAAGAAAUAAAACUUAAGUUGUGAAAUGGCUUAUUAAUGAACUCAGAUGACAAGAAACCAAAACAGCGGGCCUGGCUGAAGGAUUCAUCCCUAGCCCUGAAAGCCAGCGGGGUCUUUCUGUAACAUCAAAGGCACAAACAAUUGAACCGACAUGGGGACUUAUUCUGUCCAGCAGCCCUGGUGGCCUCAGACCAUCCGAAGCAAGGGUAACCUACCAGAAAGCUGCUAGAUGUUCCCCACUACAGUGAAGGAUUAAACAAAGAAUGAAGAAGAAGUAGGACUCAAGAAGUAAAUGAUCCAACUCAAGAAAGAGAUGACCAAGUGGAAUACCUUUUAAAGGCUUCAAGACUUUUCUUUCCCACUCCUCCCUGCCCAUGCGAGGGAGGCUCCAUUUUAAAAUGUAACACACACACACAAAAAAACGGAUUUGAAAUAAGGCAUUAGCCUGAGGUAACUUACCCCCACCUUGGCUCCAGAGCAGCUUGGAUUUCCGAUUCUUUGAGCAGGUCAGUGAUUUGGGGAACCAGUAAAAGAGCCGGGCUAUUCUUCUGAAGGUCUCAUGAAAGUCACUUCUUAUGGCCAUAGCGAGAACCAGGAGUGUUCCAGAAUGACUCGCUACAGAGAGCAUGGAUGAGGAGCACAGUAACACCCACAUAUGACACUUUAGCUGUGAACUGCCUUUCAGCCAAUAUGUCUGGGGACCACCUGUUAGCCCUAAAUCCCCUUCCUCUGUCAUUCUUUUGGCUUGUCCUUUAGACCUUGGCCCUCAUAACUAGAAACUGUAUUAAUAGAUGUUCUUUCUAAAGAAAGAGUUUUAAGCUUUCUUAAGAGAAGCUCUAACCUAAUGCAACACUUGGUAAUUUUCAAGCAUGGACCUCCUGACCUCGUUCAUAAAAACACAAUUUUUUCAUAGAGGAGUGAAAAAAAACAGGAUCCACUA
This 1256-nucleotide long non-coding RNA is filed under the name Homo sapiens (human). RNAcentral describes it as "HSALNT0368760". Lineage: Eukaryota; Metazoa; Chordata; Mammalia; Primates; Hominidae. The record is from RNAcentral.